RNAcentral lists this ribosomal RNA (2239 nucleotides) under Triticum aestivum (bread wheat). RNAcentral's name for it is "partial small subunit ribosomal RNA". The record is from RNAcentral. Lineage: Eukaryota; Viridiplantae; Streptophyta; Magnoliopsida; Poales; Poaceae.
GCGUAAGUAGACUAAACCUUCGUUACCCGUUUUUCCGCCCCCAACCACGCGCCGCUCAAAUUUUAACUCUAUUCGGCCCCUUCCGCUGCAGCGCGCGAGAGCAGAGAAGUGAGCUGCCCCGGCUUACUCACCAGGAGGAGGUGGAGGUCAGGGUUCGAGAGGGUUUGGGGGUUGGAGAGCGUAUCCGUAUCCGUCUCGUCUGGGUGGGCGACGUCUGGACCUGGUGGCCAGUGCUCCGGUGCGCAGUCCCUUUGUGGGAGAGGGAGAGGCCGUCUUUUGCCUCCACCUGCAGCAGGUGGAAACGGCCGGGGCAAGAAUUACGGCGCGCCAUUAGCGGCGCUCGAAGAUGAUGUCAGUGGCCUCCAGGCCUCCGGCCUCGCGUGACACUCCGCAGUGUACCCUACCCGAACAUGCAUGCAUGCGAUCGAUCGUGAGGUGUAAAUAAUGCCGUCAGCCGUCCAACGGGUAGGGUAGGGUAGGGGAGGGCAGCGCCGGCGGCAGGGAAGGGAAGAGCGGAGGUCCAGGUCGGUCUAUAAAAGCAGGCGAGUCAAGUCAAGUGAUGGGCGCCACCGGCGCUCUUGGGCCUAGCGGCUAGCUGUCUACCUGCGCCGGUAUAGGCGGCGGGUGCUUCGCGGCGGGCGACAGCAGGAGCAGAGGCGGCCGCGGUCGGUGAGGCAGCGGGAGGAGCGCCCGUUACACGACACGUGCACCCCGUCCCCUCUCCUGCCCGUCGAGCCGGUGCCCCUGCGGCUCCUGGCCGAGCACGGCUGCCACUAGUCGCCGAAGCUGCGCGGCCCCUAGUGCAGGCAGUAGACGCCCCGCCUGGUGUGGUGGCGGAUGAGGCUCCUGCUCGUGGUCCAGAUGUCGACCCCCACCCCCCUAAAGCCCUCCGACCCCGUACCGUUGAGGUGGCUGCACAAGUGCGGGGUCGGCCAGUUCCGCGACGUCCCCUAUUUCUAGUUCGUCGAUCGGACACCCCUAUCGGUGACAGACCGGCAGUGGUACCGGCCGCUUCACGAGUCGACCCCCGCAUUGGUUUUACCGGUCGAACCAGAACCUUGAUGACUUCUAAGCGACGAGGGUGUUUGCUAAGUUCGAAAACACCCAUAAAGACACUUCUACUAACGACGACCACGACUUGUAUGACGACGUCAUUGACUUCUACCGCUUUAGAUGCCUACCCCGACCCCAGCUAUGCCUUUGAACCCAGAACCACUAGCCUUACUGGCUAAACAAGGACUUUUUCAUAGAAGUCACCUCUACCACGAACAACGUACGCCUACCGCGGUAUGGUAAUGACAAAGGAGGAGACCAUCAAACAUGUGAAUGCCAACCUCGUUUAUACCAGUCGAACCCGUACCGCUAAAACUUCUAGUAGAUCAAGGUGUAUUUCACCUUCGGAACUUCCUAUCGAGAUGUAGGGUCUAAAGUCCACCUACCUCCGUAUGUUACCGUGAAUGUAGUCUACCUUUCGAAAUACCUACCCCUACCUUGUUCAAACCCGUUCAACCUCGACCGCUAUUACGGCUAGUGACAAGGGGGCGUGUCCAAUUAAAAGGGCUCCUUGUCUUUCAACGGGUUCAACGAACACCUACCUCCGUGUGAGAACGAAAGUGUCUUUUCUUUUUACACAAACGUACCCCUUCCCCAUGAUCACCUGUUGAGCCAGUACCCCUUUAUCAACUGUCCUUGUGCGGACACUACUAACUACGGGAUUCGGGCCUGCCAGGACCGACGUUCUUCAACCUCAGAAGUCGUCGAUAAGGGAAACGUCGAUUUUAAACCCACAGUGGGAGACUUUCUAUACGAGAACAAGGACUACUCUUCCAACGGUUUGGUCCGCUACAGUCGCGUGCACCGUUACCACGCCUACGCUCACACGGGCUCUUGCUACAUUUCUCCUACGCGCACAGUAGGAUCAAGCUACUGUAUAGUAGAUACAUGGAGUAAUUGGGAUCGUGAUGAUAGUUUUUGGGAACGCGCAGCAAGUGGUCAAAGGUGGAUCACCACAGGUCAAGAACACGUAAGGCAAGACGGCUUCAUGAAAGGUCUUCUCCUUGGAGGAGGACCGCAACUCUACUACAUAGUCGUGGAUACCCGACACCACAUAUUAAGUGGAGAAUCUCCACCGAUCAUCUUAGUUGGACCUGGACACAAGACUUACAAAGCCAUCGACGUAGGCUGUGAAACAAACCUGCCGUGUUAGUUAUUCGAUAAGCAAGAAUAGAGGAUUAAAAGU